CCUACGGGUGGCAGCAGUCGAGAAUCAUUCACAAUGGGGGAAACCCUGAUGGUGCGACGCCGCGUGGGGGAAUGAAGGUCUUCGGAUUGUAAACCCCUGUCAUGUGGGAGCAAAUUAAAAAGAUAGUACCCCAAGAGGAAGAGACGGCUAACUCUGUGCCAGCAGCCGCGGUAAUACAGAGGUCUCAAGCGUUGUUCGGAAUCACUGGGCGUAAAGCGUGCGUAGGCUGUUUCGUAAGUCGGGUGUGAAAGGCGCGGGCUCAACCCGCGGACGGCACAUGAUACUGCGAGACUAGAGUAAUGGAGGGGGAACCGGAAUUCUCGGUGUAGCAGUGAAAUGCGUAGAUAUCGAGAGGAACACUCGUGGCGAAGGCGGGUUCCUGGACAUUAACUGACGCUGAGGCACGAAGGCCAGGGGAGCGAAAGGGAUUAGAUACCCUUGUAGUC
This 446-nucleotide ribosomal RNA is filed under the name uncultured bacterium. RNAcentral's name for it is "partial 16S ribosomal RNA". It matches the Rfam family "Bacterial small subunit ribosomal RNA", at positions 338 to 795 of the family's 1533-position model. The record is from RNAcentral.